Molecule: ribosomal RNA, 617 nt
Filed under: Lactococcus lactis
Lineage: Bacteria; Bacillati; Bacillota; Bacilli; Lactobacillales; Streptococcaceae
Description: bacterial SSU rRNA
Rfam family: Bacterial small subunit ribosomal RNA
Source: RNAcentral
ACUUGUACCGACUGGAUGAGCAGCGAACGGGUGAGUAACGCGUGGGGAAUCUGCCUUUGAGCGGGGGACAACAUUUGGAAACGAAUGCUAAUACCGCAUAAAAACUUUAAACACAAGUUUUAAGUUUGAAAGAUGCAAUUGCAUCACUCAAAGAUGAUCCCGCGUUGUAUUAGCUAGUUGGUGAGGUAAAGGCUCACCAAGGCGAUGAUACAUAGCCGACCUGAGAGGGUGAUCGGCCACAUUGGGACUGAGACACGGCCCAAACUCCUACGGGAGGCAGCAGUAGGGAAUCUUCGGCAAUGGACGAAAGUCUGACCGAGCAACGCCGCGUGAGUGAAGAAGGUUUUCGGAUCGUAAAACUCUGUUGGUAGAGAAGAACGUUGGUGAGAGUGGAAAGCUCAUCAAGUGACGGUAACUACCCAGAAAGGGACGGCUAACUACGUGCCAGCAGCCGCGGUAAUACGUAGGUCCCGAGCGUUGUCCGGAUUUAUUGGGCGUAAAGCGAGCGCAGGUGGUUUAUUAAGUCUGGUGUAAAAGGCAGUGGCUCAACCAUUGUAUGCAUUGGAAACUGGUAGACUUGAGUGCAGGAGAGGAGAGUGGAAUUCCAUUGGGAACGG